Molecule: ribosomal RNA, 1392 nt
Filed under: Pseudomonas aeruginosa
Lineage: Bacteria; Pseudomonadati; Pseudomonadota; Gammaproteobacteria; Pseudomonadales; Pseudomonadaceae
Also listed under: 1 other name
Description: partial 23S ribosomal RNA
Rfam family: Bacterial large subunit ribosomal RNA
Source: RNAcentral
UAGGCAAAUCCGGUACUCGUUAAGGCUGAGCUGUGAUGGGGAGAAGACAUUGUGUCUUCGAGUCGUUGAUUUCACACUGCCGAGAAAAGCCUCUAGAUAGAAAAUAGGUGCCCGUACCGCAAACCGACACAGGUAGUCAAGAUGAGAAUUCUAAGGUGAGCGAGCGAACUCUCGUUAAGGAACUCGGCAAAAUGACCCCGUAACUUCGGGAGAAGGGGUGCUCUUUAGGGUUAACGCCCAGAAGAGCCGCAGUGAAUAGGCCCAAGCGACUGUUUAUCAAAAACACAGGUCUCUGCUAAACCGUAAGGUGAUGUAUAGGGGCUGACGCCUGCCCGGUGCUGGAAGGUUAAGAGGAGUGGUUAGCUUCUGCGAAGCUACGAAUCGAAGCCCCAGUAAACGGCGGCCGUAACUAUAACGGUCCUAAGGUAGCGAAAUUCCUUGUCGGGUAAGUUCCGACCCGCACGAAAGGCGUAACGAUUUGGGCACUGUCUCAACGAGAGACUCGGUGAAAUCAUAGUACCUGUGAAGAUGCAGGUUACCCGCGACAGGACGGAAAGACCCCGUGGAGCUUUACUGUAGCCUGAUAUUGAAAUUCGGCACAGCUUGUACAGGAUAGGUAGGAGCCUUUGAAACGUGAGCGCUAGCUUACGUGGAGGCGCUGGUGGGAUACUACCCUAGCUGUGUUGGCUUUCUAACCCGCACCACUUAUCGUGGUGGGAGACAGUGUCAGGCGGGCAGUUUGACUGGGGCGGUCGCCUCCUAAAAGGUAACGGAGGCGCUCAAAGGUUCCCUCAGAAUGGUUGGAAAUCAUUCAUAGAGUGUAAAGGCAUAAGGGAGCUUGACUGCGAGACCUACAAGUCGAGCAGGGUCGAAAGACGGACUUAGUGAUCCGGUGGUUCCGCAUGGAAGGGCCAUCGCUCAACGGAUAAAAGCUACCCCGGGGAUAACAGGCUUAUCUCCCCCAAGAGUUCACAUCGACGGGGAGGUUUGGCACCUCGAUGUCGGCUCAUCGCAUCCUGGGGCUGUAGUCGGUCCCAAGGGUUGGGCUGUUCGCCCAUUAAAGCGGUACGCGAGCUGGGUUCAGAACGUCGUGAGACAGUUCGGUCCCUAUCCGUCGUGGGCGUAGGAAAUUUGAGAGGAGCUGUCCUUAGUACGAGAGGACCGGGAUGGACAUACCUCUGGUGUACCAGUUGUCGUGCCAACGGCAUAGCUGGGUAGCUAUGUGUGGACGGGAUAAGUGCUGAAAGCAUCUAAGCAUGAAGCCCCCCUCAAGAUGAGAUUUCCCAACUUCGGUUAUAAGAUCCCUCAAAGAUGAUGAGGUUAAUAGGUUCGAGGUGGAAGCAUGGUGACAUGUGGAGCUGACGAAUACUAAUCGAUCGAAGACUUAAUCAA